RNAcentral lists this ribosomal RNA (471 nucleotides) under uncultured Comamonadaceae bacterium. RNAcentral describes it as "bacterial SSU rRNA". It matches the Rfam family "Bacterial small subunit ribosomal RNA", at positions 8 to 474 of the family's 1533-position model. The record is from RNAcentral. Lineage: Bacteria; Pseudomonadati; Pseudomonadota; Betaproteobacteria; Burkholderiales; Comamonadaceae.
AGAGUUUGAUCCUGGCUCAGAUUGAACGCUGGCGGAAUGCUUUACACAUGCAAGUCGAACGGCAGCACGGGGGCAACCCUGGUGGCGAGUGGCGAACGGGUGAGUAAUACAUCGGAACGUGCCCAGUCGUGGGGGAUAACGUAGCGAAAGCUACGCUAAUACCGCAUACGAACUCUGGUUGAAAGCGGGGGAUCGCAAGACCUCGCGCGAUUGGAGCGGCCGAUGGCAGAUUAGGUAGUUGGUGGGGUAAAGGCUCACCAAGCCGACGAUCUGUAGCUGGUCUGAGAGGACGACCAGCCACACUGGGACUGAGACACGGCCCAGACUCCUACGGGAGGCAGCAGUGGGGAAUUUUGGACAAUGGGCGCAAGCCUGAUCCAGCCAUUCCGCGUGCAGGAUGAAGGCCCUCGGGUUGUAAACUGCUUUUGUACGGAACGAAAAGGCCUGGGUUAAUACCUCGGGCUCAUGACG